RNAcentral lists this long non-coding RNA (765 nucleotides) under Homo sapiens (human). RNAcentral's name for it is "HSALNT0343660". The record is from RNAcentral. Lineage: Eukaryota; Metazoa; Chordata; Mammalia; Primates; Hominidae.
CUCAUUCUGUCUUGCCGCCACAAUGUAAGAAUUGUCUCUCACCCUCUGCCAUGUAAGAAUUCUCUUUCACCCUCUGCCGUGAUCGUGAGACCUUCCCCAGCCAUGUGAAACUUUUUCAGCUUUCCUCCACUGUUUUGGGAAACGUCACCUUCUUAUCUUGGAAGAGUAAUCUCAAAAUUGAAGCAUCUUAGAUCCAACAAGAAUUAAAAGGAUGGGAAGUCCUUGCAGCCAUCCAAUAGAGUCAGAAGACUUUGGAUUUUGGAGUCUGUGAGAUGAUGUACUCACAUCCCAACAAAUUGAAAAUGCUGACCAAUCCCAGCACAGCCAACUCGAAUUUGCUCCUUCAUCAAAGUGACCAGCACCUCAUUUCUUCCUCUUUAGAAUUUAUAGAGUCCUAUGGCUAUUGAUAUCUAACAUCCUGGCUUCACUCACAUGGAUGAGCCCCACCUGGAAUGCCUAGAAGACGUGGGACAGCUGGAUCUCUCUCCACACGGUUUUUCAUUGUUGCCUCAGGUUCCAAUAAAAGCAAAAGCUGCAAGGUCUUCUGAGGCAAAGACUUAGAAAUACCACAAUGUUACUUCUGCUGCAUUCUGUUGAUAAAAGAAUCCCACAAUGCCAGCUUCAUUUAAAGGGGUAAAGAUAUAGAUUAUUCACCUUCGAUGGGAGGAACUGCAAAUGAUGUAAUUAGUGAUAAUUUUUAAUAUACUGUAAUGUAUUGACUUAUCUUUAAAAAAUGAAAAAAUAAACCAAAAACUAAAAGCAAAA